RNAcentral lists this long non-coding RNA (263 nucleotides) under Sorghum bicolor (sorghum). RNAcentral describes it as "long non-coding RNA (SBIC_LNC006053)". The record is from RNAcentral. Lineage: Eukaryota; Viridiplantae; Streptophyta; Magnoliopsida; Poales; Poaceae.
GCACAUUAUGUAGACGUGGUGUCUAGAUAUAUUGUGUACCUACAGAGGCACUCUAAUGUGCCGGGUCGUAUGGUAGUCCGCGUAGGUGACAGCUGCGUUAGUUCCUCUGUAGUCCACCUCCCGUAUGUAGGACUAUCCUCAUUAGUUGAUGCUCCUUAUGAUGUUUUCUGAGUUUAUCACACUAUAGAUGAAAAUGUGUAGCAUAGCGUAGGCUGUAGACUUUAUAUUAGUAAUUACAUAAGUUUCUUUUAUUUUAUUUGAAU